This 253-nucleotide ribosomal RNA is filed under the name uncultured bacterium. RNAcentral describes it as "partial 16S ribosomal RNA". It matches the Rfam family "Bacterial small subunit ribosomal RNA", at positions 524 to 776 of the family's 1533-position model. The record is from RNAcentral.
UACGUAGGGGGCAAGCGUUGUCCGGAAUUAUUGGGCGUAAAGAGCGUGUAGGCGGUCCGGUAAGUCAGCUGUGAAAGUCAAGGGCUCAACCCUUGAAUGCCGGUUGAUACUGUCGGGCUAGAGUCCGGAAGAGGCGAGUGGAAUUCCCGGUGUAGCGGUGAAAUGCGCAGAUAUCGGGAGGAACACCGAUGGCGAAGGCAGCUCGCUGGGACGGUACUGACGCUGAGGAGCGAAAGCGUGGGGAGCGAACAGG